GUGUCAGCCGCCGCGGUAAUACAGAGGUCCCAAGCGUUGUUCGGAUUCACUGGGCGUAAAGGGUGCGUAGGUGGCGGGGUAAGUUCGAUGUGAAAGCUUCGAGCUCAACUCGGAAAUGGCAUUGAAUACUAUCCUGCUGGAGGGUCGGAGGGGAGACUGGAAUUCUCGGUGUAGCAGUGAAAUGCGUAGAUAUCGAGAGGAACACCAGUGGCGAAGGCGAGUCUCUGGACGACUCCUGACACUGAGGCACGAAAGCUAGGGGAGCAAACAGGAUUAGAAACCCUCGUAGUCC
Molecule: ribosomal RNA, 292 nt
Filed under: uncultured bacterium
Lineage: Bacteria
Description: partial 16S ribosomal RNA
Rfam family: Bacterial small subunit ribosomal RNA
Source: RNAcentral